GGUCCGGUGGCCGAGGAGAUAAGCGGCGCCGGUCUCAUACGCCAGGACCGGGGUUCAAAUCCCAUCUGGACCG
Anopheles minimus is the source of this 73-nucleotide non-coding RNA. Lineage: Eukaryota; Metazoa; Arthropoda; Insecta; Diptera; Culicidae. The record is from Rfam.